UACAGAGGUCUCAAGCGUUGUUCGGAUUCAUUGGGCGUAAAGGGUGCGUAGGCGGCGCGGUAAGUCGGGUGUGAAAUCUCGGGGCUUAACUCCGAAACUGCAUUCGAUACUGCCGUGCUUGAGGACUGGAGAGGAGACUGGAAUUUACGGUGUAGCGGUGAAAUGCGUAGAUAUCGUAAGGAAGGCCGGUGGCGAAAGCGAGGCUCUGGACAGUUGCUGACGCUGUGGCACGAAGGCUAGGGGAGCAAACGGG
RNAcentral lists this ribosomal RNA (253 nucleotides) under uncultured bacterium. RNAcentral's name for it is "partial 16S ribosomal RNA". It matches the Rfam family "Bacterial small subunit ribosomal RNA", at positions 524 to 776 of the family's 1533-position model. The record is from RNAcentral.